Molecule: non-coding RNA, 731 nt
Organism: Pelobates cultripes (western spadefoot toad)
Lineage: Eukaryota; Metazoa; Chordata; Amphibia; Anura; Pelobatidae
Source: the annotation of a GenBank genome assembly
GUGAAAACUGAAAAAGAGUUUACUUAAUACGAUUUGAAAAAAUUCUGUAUAAAUAAUUUUUUUAUUCCUACUUUUUAUUUUUAUUUUAAAUUAAGAAUGUAUGCAACAAUACAGACCAUUAUAAAUCAAUCUUAUAUAAGACGCUUAAUAGGGUUAUGACAUACAUGUAGGCUUGGUGUGUCAUAGAUCAGAGGUCGGUUUUACAUACAGACCGGUGCAAUACAUUGGGUAACAUGUCAAAUAAGGCGAGCAUUGGAAGCAUGAUCCCCAUGGCAACUUUUUCUUCCUACUUUUUUUUUUCUCUGACAAGCUGCACUUGGCAGCUUUGUACAGUCUCAUUAUCAGCAUGAAAUACUUGAAUCUCUAUGAAAGUCAUGAAUGUCAUACCGUCAUUACAGUAUUACUAGCAUUUAAAUAGCAACAACAUUUUCUCCAGUACUUUUCAGUUAUUCAAUGUGUUAUUUAACAGUAAGUAAUUGACAUACAAAAAUAUUUACAGGCCCCGUCUCUCCACAGACUUGGAUUACAGAUCCCAUUCCCUGUGUAUGUACGGGGCUAAAGCAUAGUAUGUACAUUAUAACUGGUGGCAUUUCUAAGGAGGUAGGUUUCUAGUAUAGAAUGCUGCAAAACCUUUUUUUAUUUUGCAUACACAAAACUUAUGUUUUUGUUUUGGUUUUUUUGCAUAAAUUAUCCAUAUUUAAACAUGCAUAUAAAUAAAACAUUGAGGUUAG